Molecule: ribosomal RNA, 253 nt
Filed under: uncultured bacterium
Lineage: Bacteria
Description: partial 16S ribosomal RNA
Rfam family: Bacterial small subunit ribosomal RNA
Source: RNAcentral
UACGUAGGGUCCGAGCGUUGUCCGGAAUUACUGGGCGUAAAGAGCUCGUAGGGGGUUUGUCGCGUUGUUCGUGAAAACUCACAGCUUAACUGUGGGCGUGCGGGCGAUACGGGCAGACUGGAGUACUGCAGGGGAGACUGGAAUUCCUGGUGUAGCGGUGGAAUGCGCAGAUAUCAGGAGGAACACCGGUGGCGAAGGCGGGUCUCUGGGCAGUAACUGACGCUGAGGAGCGAAAGCGUGGGGAGCAAACAGG